This 1027-nucleotide long non-coding RNA is filed under the name Homo sapiens (human). RNAcentral's name for it is "long intergenic non-protein coding RNA 2654". The record is from RNAcentral. Lineage: Eukaryota; Metazoa; Chordata; Mammalia; Primates; Hominidae.
GCAGGGCUUGAAGCCUAGGCACCAAGAGGGGGCCGGUUAGAUUGGUUGAAAGGGACAUGGAGACCAGAAGGGCUUCUUUCCAGUUCCUUCUUUGUGGGGAACAUUGGGAUCAGAGAGGGUUCUAAGCUCAUUUCAGAAGCCCCAACAUACUUAAAUGAACAUGGCUAGAAAAACUGAAGAUUGAAUUUACUAAUCAUUCCUUGCUUCUCAUUUGUCUCAGGAUUAAGCUUUGGAGGGUGGAGAAUAACCCAGUUGAAAAUCUACAAGCAAUGCUGUCCACAUCCCAAAUAGACUGGUCAAAAAGCCUUCAUCCCGUCAGUCACUGACAUCAACUUCAUCCAAAUCAGACUCCUAAAAACCCGGCCUAACUUAUGUGUCAUGCAAAGGAUGGCUCUUGGAAAAAUGCAAAGAGUGGUCAGGAGAAGAAACCAACAAGAAAUGUAACCUACCUCCAGAACUCAGGAACUCAGGUACCCUUAAGGAUAUCAGAAACAAUGAAAUAUGGAUUGGCAGAAGCAUCUUCACCACCAUCUUCAGAUGUAAUUAAUGCAGCUGUUGAAUUUGGUUGACUAUCCACCUAUAAUUACCACAUUGCCCAUUACAGAUUUUUGCUGCCUUUUCUUGCCUCCUUUUCAUUUUUACAUCCACUUAUUCCCUACAGAAAUGACAGAUAAUCAGCAUUUUUGUUUUCUUGUUAUGUUGUCCUGAUAGUACAGCUACAAAUGGAUUUGAUGUGCUGAAUAAUGGUCUACUAGGCCUAAAAAUGAAAGUCUAGACCCUUAGUCAAAAAUAACUUGGAUCUAUGUGGUACCAAGAAAAGAGGAAUUAUAAGAAAAAGAAUAUUAGUUUAAUGUUCUGUAAAUUUUUUUCUUAACCUAUUCUGUCCAGUAUUUACUACUUGGCUGCAUUCCUAAAACAUAAAUUUCACAGGGGCAGGAGUCUUUGUCCAUUUUGCUCAUUAAUGUGUUAGGAAUACUAAAAAGAGUGUCUAGCGGGGUAGUCACAUAAUAAAUACCUGUUGCAUGAA